Columba livia (rock pigeon) is the source of this 1550-nucleotide long non-coding RNA. RefSeq lists it as uncharacterized. The record is from RefSeq and is a predicted model, not a curated record. The transcript has 2 exons. Lineage: Eukaryota; Metazoa; Chordata; Aves; Columbiformes; Columbidae.
UUCGUGUGGGUUGUCUGAAUUUAGAGUUGAUGAGUUAGUUUUCUGUAUUUGGAGUUAAUAGGCUAGUUUGCUGUAUGAAUAAAGUUAAGUGUUGCGGUAGUUGUGAGGCGACUUGGAGGCGGGGAGAGCUUGUGGUCGGUGGGGGUGCCUGCGCCCUGGAGCCCUGGAGCGGGGGACAGCUUGUGACUACGAGAUAACGAUCUUGUUACCAUGCGAACACUGCCUGACUAAGAUUCCCGCCUUAGCUAGCUUAAUGUCUGUUAAAGUGAUUAGCCAAUCAGCAUGAAACAUGUGUGCCUUAGACUAUAUAAAUGUAUGUUUGCCAUACAAUAAAGCGGACACUUUGCUUGCAUCAAGUUGCGUCCCCGUCUCUCAAUCGCGGCAAAUUGGUGACCUCCGACGUGAUCGUCAGCGACGAAACCGCCGAGGAUUGAAAAACCGCCUACCUGGUGGCAUGUCGCGAGUCCCGCAGAACGUGGAAUGAGCUGCUGAAAGGAAGCAGGAUAAGCCGGCCGGCCAAACAAUCCCUCCGUCUGGAACGAGAGAAAGAGGCCCCCGUUGGAUCCCAGCCAAGAAUGUGAGACCUUUUCGAGAAACAUUGCAGCAGCCUCCUGAAGACAUUCCUGGGCCUGAUCCUGCGACUGAUAUAGAAGACACUACCGAUCAAUAAUUGAAUGAACUCUGUUCCAGAGGUUAACGAAUGGGAGCUUAAAUGUCCCCAAUGUGAAAAAUGUAAUCCGUGGAUUUGUAGAAUUUGUGCUAAUUGUGGAAAAUCACAGUGGCUAAAUCGCCAUACAGUAGGACGCUGGUGUGAUAACUGCCUAACAAUUGAGUGGAAUACAGUUCAGGUGUUAUUGAUAACAGGUAGAGAGACAGAAUAUUCUCCCCGGUAUGAUUAUUAUUCUGACGAUUGGGGGAAAAUUGUAGCACAAAGGUCUGGGGACAUUUUAUAUUCUAAGAUUGAAUGCGCCAAAGACAUUCAAAUGAGCAUUAUUAAUAGUAAUCCCAUGUGUGUUACAAUGCUUCCAAAAUCAAUAACUGCUUCAAUGAACAAGAUUUUCCUCGUGCAGCAAGGAGUGGACCAAGAUCAGAAAGAAAUUACAAAAACCCCCAGUACGGAGCUGUUACUGAAACAAGAUGUCCUCGAGUUGGUCCUUUGCCGACCUUGGGAGGGUCAGUUAAUUAAAACAAAAAGGGGGAGAUGUGGGUUGUCUGAAUUUAGAGUUGAUGAGUUAGUUUUCUGUAUUUGGAGUUAAUAGGCUAGUUUGCUGUAUGAAUAAAGUUAAGUGUUGCGGUAGUUGUGAGGCGACUUGGAGGCGGGGAGAGCUUGUGGUCGGUGGGGGUGCCUGCGCCCUGGAGCCCUGGAGCGGGGGACAGCUUGUGACUACGAGAUAACGAUCUUGUUACCAUGCGAACACUGCCUGACUAAGAUUCCCGCCUUAGCUAGCUUAAUGUCUGUUAAAGUGAUUAGCCAAUCAGCAUGAAACAUGUGUGCCUUAGACUAUAUAAAUGUAUGUUUGCCAUACAAUAAAGCGGACACUUUGCUUGCA